CACUUCUAAGGAAGGCAGCAGGCGCGCAAAUUACCCAAUCCUGACUCAGGGAGGUAGUGACAAGAAAUAACAAUAAACCGGCUUAUGCCGGUUUAAUUGGAAUGAGUACAAUUUAAACAUCUUAACGAGGAACAAUUGGAGGGCAAGUCUGGUGCCAGCAGCCGCGGUAAUUCCAGCUCCAAUAGCGUAUACUAAAGUUGUUGCAGUUAAAAAGCUCGUAGUUGGAUUUCUGUGGGGACGGAGCGGCCGGCCGCAACUCGCGGUUCGAGCUAGCGCUUUCCCUACAUCCUGCCGCGAACCGUGCUACCAUUAGUUUGGUGGCGCCGGGGAUCGGCUCGAUUACUUUGAGAAAAAUAGAGUGUUCAAAGCAGGCCACAUGCCUUGAAUAAGUUAGCAUGGAAUAAUAACUAAGGACUUCGGUUCUAUUUUGUUGGUGUUCGGGACUGAAGUAAUGAUUGAUAGGGACAGUUGGGGCGGUCUGUAUUCCAAAGCGAGAGGUGAAAUUCUUAGACCUUCGGAAGACAAACAGCUGCGAAAGCGUUCCGCAAGGAUGUUCCCUUUGAUCAAGAACGAAAGUUGGGGGAUCGAAGACGAUCAGAUACCGUCGUAGUCUCGACUAUAAACUAUACCAGCUAGGGAUCGGCCAACGUUAUUUCAAACCGACUUGGUCGGCACCUUAUGAGAAAUCAAAGCAUCUGGGUUCCGGGGGGAGUAUGGUCGCAAGGCUGAAACUUAAAGGAAUUGACGGAAGGGCACCACCAGCCGUGGAGCCUGUGGCUUAAUUUGACUCAACACGGGAAAACUUACCAGGUCCAGACAUAGUAAGGAUUGACAGAUUGAUAGCUCUUUCUUGAUUCUGUGGGUGGUGGUGCAUGGCCGUUCUUAGUUGGUGGAGUGACUUGUCUGGUUAAUUCCGUUAACGAACGAGACCCCAGCCUGCUAAAUAGCGCGCGUGAGCUUUGCUCGCGGCGAGCUUCUUAGAGGGACUAUGAUGCGCGAUAGCACAUGGAAGUUUGGGGCAAUAACAGGUCUGUGAUGCCCUUAGAUGUUCUGGGCCGCACACGGGCUACACUGGCGCCUGCAACGAGCAUAUCAGCUGGCCCGAGAGGGUCUUGGCUAAUCUUUUGAACCGGCGCCGUGCUUGGGAUUGACCUUUGCAAUUGUUGGUCAUGCAACGAGGAAUGCCUUGUAAACGCGAGUCAUCAGCUCGCAUUGAAUACGUCCCUGCCCUUUGUACACACCGCCCGUCGCUCCUACCGAUGAAUGUUCCGAUGAAAUUUUCGGAGAGCACCUGUGAACUUGGCUCUGCCUUGCGAACGGGAGGCUCAAAGUCACUUAAAUCUGAACAUUUCGA
RNAcentral lists this ribosomal RNA (1354 nucleotides) under uncultured marine eukaryote. Its description in RNAcentral is "SSU rRNA". It matches the Rfam family "Eukaryotic small subunit ribosomal RNA", at positions 411 to 1777 of the family's 1831-position model. The record is from RNAcentral.